Molecule: ribosomal RNA, 473 nt
Filed under: uncultured bacterium
Lineage: Bacteria
Description: bacterial SSU rRNA
Rfam family: Bacterial small subunit ribosomal RNA
Source: RNAcentral
AUUGAACGCUGGCGGUGUGCUUAACACAUGCAAGUCGAACGGUAACAGGCCUUCGGGCGCUGACGAGUGGCGGACGGUGAGUAACGCGUAGGAAUCUGCCUCAUAGUGGGGGACAACGUGGGGAAACUCACGCUAAUACCGCAUACGCCCUACGGGGAAAGCGGGGGAGUCUUCGGACCUCGCGCUAUGAGAUGAGCCUGCGUUAGAUUAGCUAGUUGGUAGGGUAAAGGCCUACCAAGGCGACGAUCUAUAGCUGGUCUGAGAGGACGAUCAGCCACACUGGGACUGAGACACGGCCCAGACUCCUACGGGAGGCAGCAGUGGGGAAUAUUGGACAAUGGGCGCAAGCCUGAUCCAGCAAUACCGCGUGUGUGAAGAAGGCCUUAGGGUGUAAGCACUUUCAAUUGGGAGGAAACCUGCCGGUCAAUACCCGGUAGCUUGACAUUACCUUUAGUAAGAAGCACCGGCUAACU